ACCUAGUGAUGUGGGCAUUUACUAAACAGGUCCCUAAAGUGUUCCCAAGUCUCGAAAAAAAAGUUCCCCAUUCAUCUGUGAGAAACUUGUGAUGACUCUUUGAAGCU
This is a small nucleolar RNA of Malania oleifera, 107 nucleotides long. The record is from RefSeq and is a predicted model, not a curated record. Lineage: Eukaryota; Viridiplantae; Streptophyta; Magnoliopsida; Santalales; Ximeniaceae.